AUACGUAGGGGGCGAGCGUUGUCCGGAAUGAUUGGGCGUAAAGGGCGCGUAGGCGGCCCGGUAAGUCUGGAGUGAAAGUCCUGUUUUUAAGAUGGGAAUUGCUUUGGAUACUGUCGGGCUUGAGUGCAGGAGAGGUAAGUGGAAUUCCCAGUGUAGCGGUGAAAUGCGUAGAGAUUGGGAGGAACACCAGUGGCGAAGGCGACUUACUGGGCAGUAACUGACGCUGAGGAGCGAAAGCUAGGGGCGCGAACAGGAUUAGAUACCCUGGUAGUCCACGCGGUAAACGAUGAAUGCUAGGUGUUGCGGGUAUCGACCCCUGCAGUGCCGGAGUAAACACAAUAAGCAUUCCGCCUGGGGAGUACGGCCGCAAGGUUGAAACUCAAAUGAAUUGACGGGG
This 397-nucleotide ribosomal RNA is filed under the name uncultured bacterium. RNAcentral describes it as "partial 16S ribosomal RNA". It matches the Rfam family "Bacterial small subunit ribosomal RNA", at positions 523 to 918 of the family's 1533-position model. The record is from RNAcentral.